CUGCCUGGUAGUGGGGGACGAACGUUUCGAAAGGAAACGCUAAUACCGCAUACGUCCUACGGGAGAAAGCAGGGACCUUCGGGCCUUGCGCUAUCAGAUGAGCCUAGGUCGGAUUAGCUAGUUGGUGAGGUAAUGGCUCACCAAGGCGACGAUCCGUAACUGGUCUGAGAGGAUGAUCAGUCACACUGGAACUGAGACACGGUCCAGACUCCUACGGGAGGCAGCAGCG
Molecule: ribosomal RNA, 229 nt
Filed under: uncultured Pseudomonas sp.
Lineage: Bacteria; Pseudomonadati; Pseudomonadota; Gammaproteobacteria; Pseudomonadales; Pseudomonadaceae
Description: partial 16S ribosomal RNA
Rfam family: Bacterial small subunit ribosomal RNA
Source: RNAcentral